UGAAUUGAAAAUUAUUAGGUGAGUUUUGACAUUGGAAUUGAAAGAUUUAGCUUAAGUGCUGAAAUUGAGGGUUAUAAUGCAGCUUUUGGUAUUUUUUUGGUAAUUAGAUCCUUGAGGUAGUGUUGUUGCUAAUUCAGAGUGAUCUUGGUUGGCCUCGACAGGGAUUCCAGUAGUUGAGGGCUGUCGUCGAGCCGUUUUGAGGUGGGUUAAUCAUCGGUUUUUUCUCCUAAGUGCAUGCGUAGUCAACGUGUAUAUUUUCAGCCUUUGUAUAUCAUGUUUUUAGCUCGAAUUCAUCGAUUAUCAUAUUAAACGAAAUCUGAAUUUGGAGCAUACUGAAAUAAGUUAGAUAAAUAAUACAUGUUGGACUUGGAUUUGACUUAGGAGAAAACUAGCGCUUCUACACUGUCAUAUAUUAAAACUACCAGAUUUAGCUCUAGAAGCCGUAGUUUGUUUGUAUCACCGCAGUUUGUAGGCGGUGGAUAUUCAGGAUAGUGUAGAAUAUGUUUACGCUCAUGCUGGGAUGUCGGGCUUAUUUUUACAGCAGUGUUUAGGCUGUUCCGGACUGUCGGGUGCCGUUGGGGUUAACGGUAGACCCAGAUUGCUGUUUUCG
This 610-nucleotide long non-coding RNA is filed under the name Ananas comosus (pineapple). RNAcentral's name for it is "long non-coding RNA (ACOM_LNC018152)". Lineage: Eukaryota; Viridiplantae; Streptophyta; Magnoliopsida; Poales; Bromeliaceae. The record is from RNAcentral.